This 2908-nucleotide ribosomal RNA is filed under the name Salmonella enterica subsp. enterica serovar Javiana str. CFSAN001992. Its description in RNAcentral is "bacterial LSU rRNA". It matches the Rfam family "Bacterial large subunit ribosomal RNA". Lineage: Bacteria; Pseudomonadati; Pseudomonadota; Gammaproteobacteria; Enterobacterales; Enterobacteriaceae. The record is from RNAcentral.
GGUUAAGCGACUAAGCGUACACGGUGGAUGCCCUGGCAGUCAGAGGCGAUGAAGGACGUGCUAAUCUGCGAUAAGCGCCGGUAAGGUGAUAUGAACCGUUAUAACCGGCGAUUUCCGAAUGGGGAAACCCAGUGUGACUCGUCACACUAUCAUUAACUGAAUCCAUAGGUUAAUGAGGCGAACCGGGGGAACUGAAACAUCUAAGUACCCCGAGGAAAAGAAAUCAACCGAGAUUCCCCCAGUAGCGGCGAGCGAACGGGGAGGAGCCCAGAGCCUGAAUCAGCAUGUGUGUUAGUGGAAGCGUCUGGAAAGGCGCGCGAUACAGGGUGACAGCCCCGUACACAAAAGCGCAUGUGCUGUGAGCUCGAUGAGUAGGGCGGGACACGUGGUAUCCUGUCUGAAUAUGGGGGGACCAUCCUCCAAGGCUAAAUACUCCUGACUGACCGAUAGUGAACCAGUACCGUGAGGGAAAGGCGAAAAGAACCCCGGCGAGGGGAGUGAAAAAGAACCUGAAACCGUGUACGUACAAGCAGUGGGAGCACCCUUUGGGGUGUGACUGCGUACCUUUUGUAUAAUGGGUCAGCGACUUAUAUUCUGUAGCAAGGUUAACCGAAUAGGGGAGCCGGAGGGAAACCGAGUCUUAACCGGGCGUUAAGUUGCAGGGUAUAGACCCGAAACCCGGUGAUCUAGCCAUGGGCAGGUUGAAGGUUGGGUAACACUAACUGGAGGACCGAACCGACUAAUGUUGAAAAAUUAGCGGAUGACCUGUGGCUGGGGGUGAAAGGCCAAUCAAACCGGGAGAUAGCUGGUUCUCCCCGAAAGCUAUUUAGGUAGCGCCUCGUGAAUUCAUCUCCGGGGGUAGAGCACUGUUUCGGCUAGGGGGCCAUCCCGGCUUACCAACCCGAUGCAAACUGCGAAUACCGGAGAAUGUUAUCACGGGAGACACACGGCGGGUGCUAACGUCCGUCGUGAAGAGGGAAACAACCCAGACCGCCAGCUAAGGUCCCAAAGUCAUGGUUAAGUGGGAAACGAUGUGGGAAGGCCCAGACAGCCAGGAUGUUGGCUUAGAAGCAGCCAUCAUUUAAAGAAAGCGUAAUAGCUCACUGGUCGAGUCGGCCUGCGCGGAAGAUGUAACGGGGCUAAACCAUGCACCGAAGCUGCGGCAGCGACGCUGAUGCGUUGUUGGGUAGGGGAGCGUUCUGUAAGCCUGUGAAGGUGGCCUGUGAGGGUUGCUGGAGGUAUCAGAAGUGCGAAUGCUGACAUAAGUAACGAUAAAGCGGGUGAAAAGCCCGCUCGCCGGAAGACCAAGGGUUCCUGUCCAACGUUAAUCGGGGCAGGGUGAGUCGACCCCUAAGGCGAGGCCGAAAGGCGUAGUCGAUGGGAAACGGGUUAAUAUUCCCGUACUUGGUGUUACUGCGAAGGGGGGACGGAGAAGGCUAUGUUGGCCGGGCGACGGUUGUCCCGGUUUAAGCGUGUAGGUGUGUGUUCCAGGUAAAUCCGGUUCACUUUAACACUGAGGCGUGAUGACGAGGCACUACGGUGCUGAAGCAACAAAUGCCCUGCUUCCAGGAAAAGCCUCUAAGCAUCAGGUAACAUCAAAUCGUACCCCAAACCGACACAGGUGGUCAGGUAGAGAAUACCAAGGCGCUUGAGAGAACUCGGGUGAAGGAACUAGGCAAAAUGGUGCCGUAACUUCGGGAGAAGGCACGCUGACAUGUAGGUGAAGUGAUUUACUCACGGAGCUGAAGUCAGUCGAAGAUACCAGCUGGCUGCAACUGUUUAUUAAAAACACAGCACUGUGCAAACACGAAAGUGGACGUAUACGGUGUGACGCCUGCCCGGUGCCGGAAGGUUAAUUGAUGGGGUCAGCGCAAGCGAAGCUCCUGAUCGAAGCCCCGGUAAACGGCGGCCGUAACUAUAACGGUCCUAAGGUAGCGAAAUUCCUUGUCGGGUAAGUUCCGACCUGCACGAAUGGCGUAAUGAUGGCCAGGCUGUCUCCACCCGAGACUCAGUGAAAUUGAACUCGCUGUGAAGAUGCAGUGUACCCGCGGCAAGACGGAAAGACCCCGUGAACCUUUACUAUAGCUUGACACUGAACAUUGAGCCUUGAUGUGUAGGAUAGGUGGGAGGCUUUGAAGUGUGGACGCCAGUCUGCAUGGAGCCGGCCUUGAAAUACCACCCUUUAAUGUUUGAUGUUCUAACGUGGACCCGUGAUCCGGGUUGCGGACAGUGUCUGGUGGGUAGUUUGACUGGGGCGGUCUCCUCCUAAAGAGUAACGGAGGAGCACGAAGGUUGGCUAAUCCUGGUCGGACAUCAGGAGGUUAGUGCAAUGGCAUAAGCCAGCUUGACUGCGAGCGUGACGGCGCGAGCAGGUGCGAAAGCAGGUCAUAGUGAUCCGGUGGUUCUGAAUGGAAGGGCCAUCGCUCAACGGAUAAAAGGUACUCCGGGGAUAACAGGCUGAUACCGCCCAAGAGUUCAUAUCGACGGCGGUGUUUGGCACCUCGAUGUCGGCUCAUCACAUCCUGGGGCUGAAGUAGGUCCCAAGGGUAUGGCUGUUCGCCAUUUAAAGUGGUACGCGAGCUGGGUUUAGAACGUCGUGAGACAGUUCGGUCCCUAUCUGCCGUGGGCGCUGGAGAACUGAGGGGGGCUGCUCCUAGUACGAGAGGACCGGAGUGGACGCAUCACUGGUGUUCGGGUUGUCAUGCCAAUGGCACUGCCCGGUAGCUAAAUGCGGAAGAGAUAAGUGCUGAAAGCAUCUAAGCACGAAACUUGCCCCGAGAUGAGUUCUCCCUGAGACUUAGAGUCUCCUGAAGGAACGUUGAAGACGACGACGUUGAUAGGCCGGGUGUGUAAGCGCAGCGAUGCGUUGAGCUAACCGGUACUAAUGAACCGUGAGGCUUAACCUUAC